Molecule: long non-coding RNA, 386 nt
Filed under: Salvia miltiorrhiza (redroot sage)
Lineage: Eukaryota; Viridiplantae; Streptophyta; Magnoliopsida; Lamiales; Lamiaceae
Description: long non-coding RNA (SMIL_LNC001512)
Source: RNAcentral
UUUUGUAAAUGUCGUGUGUUGCUCAUAAAUUCUCUGUUGCUAUUGCGCAAUGAUAUUUCUCGAAUCGGAUUACUCUCCGAAUGACAGCUAGGACCGUAAUCUUGAUUGAUGCUCUACACCCCCAUGCUCGUCAGAAUGUUCGGACUCGUGGUUCAACCAUGGAAAUUUUGGCUGAUUCUUUGGACAAAAUGUUUGUCUGCACAGACUCGGGAUCUCAGUCUGCGCGGACUGGGGACCUGGACCAUCGUUUUUUAAGUCUUGCAGUUAAUGCCUCGAAUUUGUGCCGUGAAUUUGUGCAAUUUAUGCCUCGAAUUUUGCAAUUUAAUGCCUUGAAUUUGUGCAAUUAAUGCCCUCGUCGUGCAGUUUAUGCCUUGAAUUUGUGCAAU